CGGGUGUAGUUUAGUGGUAGAACGCCAGCCUUCCAAGCUGGCCGUGUGGGUUCGAUUCCCAUCACCC
RNAcentral lists this transfer RNA (67 nucleotides) under chicken gut metagenome. It matches the Rfam family "tRNA". From Rfam's summary of the family: Transfer RNA (tRNA) molecules are approximately 80 nucleotides in length. Their secondary structure includes four short double-helical elements and three loops (D, anti-codon, and T loops). The record is from RNAcentral.